Molecule: ribosomal RNA, 435 nt
Filed under: uncultured Alphaproteobacteria bacterium
Lineage: Bacteria; Pseudomonadati; Pseudomonadota; Alphaproteobacteria
Description: SSU rRNA
Rfam family: Bacterial small subunit ribosomal RNA
Source: RNAcentral
CAGCUUGUUGGUGAGGUAAAGGCUCACCAAGGCGACGAUCUUUAGCUGGUCUGAGAGGAUGAUCAGCCACACUGGGACUGAGACACGGCCCAGACUCCUACGGGAGGCAGCAGUGGGGAAUAUUGGACAAUGGGCGAAAGCCUGAUCCAGCAAUGCCGCGUGAGUGAUGAAGGCCUUAGGGUUGUAAAGCUCUUUUACCCGGGAUGACAAUGACAGUACCGGGAGAAUAAGCCCCGGCUAACUCCGUGCCAGCAGCCGCGGUAAUACGGAGGGGGCUAGCGUUGUUCGGAAUUACUGGGCGUAAAGCGUACGUAGCGGCUUUGUAAGUUAGAGGUGAAAGCCCGGAGCUCAACUCCGGAAUUGCCUUUAAGACUGCAUCGCUAGAAUCAUGGAGAGGUGAGUGGAAUUCCGAGUGUAAAGGUGAAAUUCGUAGAU